RNAcentral lists this long non-coding RNA (1680 nucleotides) under Astyanax mexicanus (Mexican tetra). RNAcentral describes it as "lncRNA (ENSAMXG00005009284.1)". Lineage: Eukaryota; Metazoa; Chordata; Actinopteri; Characiformes; Acestrorhamphidae. The record is from RNAcentral.
GCAAAUUUAAGUAUUACUAAAAGAGCUCCCAGAUACUGAACCCAGCCUCAGAUACUAGAGCUUUAAGCCGAGGUCAGACUCAGUCCAGUCCACCAUGCUGCACCUCUUUGUGAUCGGGAUUGUGAUGGCCAACACCUUUAUUACUGUGGUUUACUGGAUCUACAUCCUGACACAGGCCUUUUACAGGGGGACUGAAGAGGAGUCGAAAUCUAAGGAAAGCCCAUCAUAACCAUGAUCUUCUGAUCACGACAGAAGUAUAGUGCAGCUUAAGAGUAUAUUUAGAGGAUAUUUUUAGCAUUCUAUUAUUUGUAUACUUGUUUAUUAUUACUUUUUUUAGUUUAGCUUGUAGUCAUCUUUCGAUUGAUUUAGGAUUAGUGGCUCCACUGGCUGCAGAGCUUCAUCUCCAUCAGAGCUUCAGCUUCAGGUAAUGUAUUUUUUUAUCUGUGCUUCUGGAAAGCCUCGGCGGAGUACCGGGAAAAUGCCGGGAACAAAAUACUUUCUCCUGUUUGGCUGUGGGUAUUACAGCUUAUUUUGGCAGAGGCUGAGAUUAAACUCUGCGCAGAUUGUGUGACGGAGUGGCUUUGCUUUUACAGAUGGUGUUUGUCUCUUUCUCUCUCUCAUUUCUCUCUCUCUGUUCAGAUUGCUUUGGUUGCCAGAUUGAAGAAAAUACCAUUCACCCUCUCCAUUCUGCCCACACGACUCCAGCCGAGUGUACAGAAGGACGUCUCAAGCUGAAGAUUCAUCCAGAUCUUCAUCCUGCAAAAGUGACAUCCAUUAAAAGCAGCUUUCCAGCAGACUGGCUUUUUGGACCCAACCUGGAGGAGGAGGAGGUGGUGGUGGUGGUGGAGGCGGAGUCGCUGGAGUCUUCUGGAGGGGAGGAGAGAGCUGGAGAAAGAAGAGUCAGAUGGGGGAGGAGAAUCACGGAGGUGGUGGAGGAGAAGAGAACAAUAUUACCAGGGAUCAAACUCUCUGUAACAUCCUGAUGACGGCAUUAUCCUGACGGUUCUCUAUCUGGAACCCUAGAGAGACAACACUUACUGCAGUGGUUCCCAACCCUGGAGAACCCUUUGCUCUGUGCAUUUUAGUAGUCUCCUGCUAUGAAGUUGAAGGAGGGGCUUGUUAAUGAGCUGAUUAACUGGAUCAGGUGUGAGCACUAAAAUGUGCAGGGCUAGGGGGAUGUACUGGACCAGGACAGGGAUGAGAGUUGGGAACCACUGUCCACCUAGAGCUCCUUCAAGACCUUACUGACUGUGUGUUGUGUUGUAGUGUAAUGUACAUUAGUAUAUUGCUCUAAUAUACUCUAUACUGCACACUACUCUAUAGAGUAGUAUAGUAUCCAGUAUAUGUAUAAUCCCAUUUAUUACAUUUGUCUAUUGCUCAUAUACAGAGUUAAUUAGUCAUACCAAGAAAACUCUCAUUAGUGUAGAGUGGGGAACCUGCUGGACUAGGGAAUCAAACCCUUGUUUGGCACCGAAAGGGCAGUAGUGUUAUCCACUACACUACACCGACCUUCCAUGGUUAUCUCCACAUUCUUAUUGGCUUACUUGUUAUUAAGUAUUAUUAAGUUAUUUGAUGAAAUUAAACCCAUAUUGCUGAAUAUUACUGCCCAGUUAAGGUACAUAAAGGUCAGUUAUGGCAAUACAAAGUGUACUUUGAAUAAAAUUGGCCCUAAAAUCCUCA